GAUGAACGCUGGCGGCGUGCCUAACACAUGCAAGUCGAACGGUCAUGAAUAAUGACAGUGGCGCACGGGUGAGUAACACGUGGCUAAUCUGCCCUCGAGAGUGGGAUAACUUCCCGAAAGGGAUGCUAAUACCGCAUAAGCUCACGCGAAGUAGAGACGAGUGAGAAAAGGAGCAAUCCGCUUGAGGAGGAGGUCGCGGCCCAUCAGGUAGUUGGUGAGGUAAAGGCUCACCAAGCCGACGACGGGUAGGGGGCCUGAGAGGGUGGUCCCCCACACUGGGACUGAGACACGGCCCAGACUCCUACGGGAGGCAG
Molecule: ribosomal RNA, 314 nt
Filed under: uncultured Chloroflexota bacterium
Lineage: Bacteria; Bacillati; Chloroflexota
Description: bacterial SSU rRNA
Rfam family: Bacterial small subunit ribosomal RNA
Source: RNAcentral